This 443-nucleotide ribosomal RNA is filed under the name uncultured bacterium. Its description in RNAcentral is "partial 16S ribosomal RNA". It matches the Rfam family "Bacterial small subunit ribosomal RNA", at positions 338 to 795 of the family's 1533-position model. The record is from RNAcentral.
CCUACGGGUGGCAGCAGUGGGGAAUAUUGCACAAUGGGCGAAAGCCUGAUGCAGCAACGCCGCGUGAAGGAAGAAGGGUUUCGGCUCGUAAACUUCUAUCAACAGGGACGAAAGAAAUGACGGUACCUGAAUAAGAAGCCCCGGCUAACUGCGUGCCAGCAGCCGCGUUAAUACGUAGGGGGCACGCGGUAUCCGGAAUUACUGGGUGUAAAGGGUGGGUAGGCGGCAUGGUAAGCCAGAUGUGAAAGCCUUGGGCUUAACCCGAGGAUUGCAUUUGGUACUAGCAAGCUAGAGUACAGGAGAGGAAAGUGGAAUUCCUAGUGUAGCGGUGAAAUGCGUAGAUAUCAGGAAGAACACCAGUGGCGAAGGCGGCUGUCUGGACUGAAACUGACGCUGAGGCGCGAAGGCGUGGGGAGCAAACAGGAUUAGAUACCCUUGUAGUC